GGAAGGGGUGUAUUUAUUAGAUAAAAAACCAACGCCCUUCGGGGCUUCUUGGUGAUUCAUGAUAACUUCACGGAUCGCAUGGCCUUGCGCCGGCGACGGUUCAUUCAAAUUUCUGCCCUAUCAACUUUCGAUGGUAAGGUAUUGGCUUACCAUGGUUUCAACGGGUAACGGGGAAUUAGGGUUCGAUUCCGGAGAGGGAGCCUGAGAAACGGCUACCACAUCCAAGGAAGGCAGCAGGCGCGCAAAUUACCCAAUCCCGACACGGGGAGGUAGUGACAAUAAAUACUGAUACAGGGCUCUUUUGGGUCUUGUAAUUGGAAUGAGUACAAUUUAAACCUCUUAACGAGGAACAAUUGGAGGGCAAGUCUGGUGCCAGCAGCCGCGGUAAUUCCAGCUCCAAUAGCGUAUAUUAAAGUUGUUGCAGUUAAAAAGCUCGUAGUUGAAACUUGGGCCUGGCUGGCAGGUCCGCCUCACCGCGUGUACUUGUCCGGCCGGGCCUUUCCUUCUGGAGAACCUCAUGCCCUUCACUGGGUGUGCUGGGGAACCAGGACUUUUAC
Molecule: ribosomal RNA, 557 nt
Filed under: uncultured fungus
Lineage: Eukaryota; Fungi
Description: SSU rRNA
Rfam family: Eukaryotic small subunit ribosomal RNA
Source: RNAcentral